Non-coding RNA from Coffea arabica (coffee), 4947 nucleotides. Lineage: Eukaryota; Viridiplantae; Streptophyta; Magnoliopsida; Gentianales; Rubiaceae. The record is from RefSeq and is a predicted model, not a curated record.
GUCCUAACCUACCGCUACUAGGACUACUAUGUCCGUUACAUUGACUUUGGACCAGCUCACUGCAAAAAGUCUUGCAUGUUCGAGUUCUUUCAUUUUGGUUGAAAUCAUUCAUCUUCCUCGGAGUGUUCUUCUUUUUCUUGAACUUAAUUUUGAGUGAGUAGGUGCAAGAUAUACUGGGAAUUUUUUUGCAUAUUCACUAGAUCACCAGCUAUUGCCAGGGAUUUCAUUUUCUCUCAAAUUCAACAGAUCACUUGUUGCCAUAGCGUUCAUUCUCUCCAAAGUACCAUGAGGAACAUCUCCUCCAGCAGCAGCACUAGUUGCUUCGAUGUUGCUCGUAAUCAUCUGGACUACUUAGACUCUAGGUACAAAGGUCUGUUCAAAUCUCAUAUCUGGGAGCUGAACAUGGGGAUAAGUCUAUUGGAAACCUUUGAUCUGUAUAUUAGAAAUUUUAGGAGGAAGAGAAGCAAAGAGUGUAUGUGUUUGGAAUAUGAUAAGGAGGACAGGGGUGAUGCUGAGUCUGACAGUUCGGUAGACGUAGAUCGCCUGAUGACUUCAAAUGCCAGCUCGACAGAUUCGAGGGCAAUAUUCGGUUGAUUUUUGAUUCAGAUAUCAAGGAAUUAAACAUCGUUAGUUUAUUGCAUUACUACUUGCUGGGAGAUUCACAACUGGUUAUGGAUAUCAUCGAUUCCAUUUUAGAGAAUCUGAGGCGUCUUUGCACCAGAAAUUACAGGGAUGAUGCAGCUCUGCAAAGUGUAAUGGGAACCCUUCAAGAGAAGCUAAUGUUCUUGAAGAGUUUCAUUUGCUUUGCAACACUACAAGGUGUUAAGGGUCAGCAAUUAGUAGAUCUGUUAGUUCACAUUGAAGUUGUGGCCAUUAAUGCUGCAAGCCUGAUCUCUACAUCUUGGUUUCAGAGAAAUGAUGAACGGGUGUGCAAUGAGAUGGAAUCUGAAAUUUCUCAACUGAUACAAAAGAAGAUUGAUCCCGUUGAUCUCCAAGUCCGAGAAACUUAUAUCCACGUCUUGACAGCUUCCAAGUUGUCACCAUCAUCACACACUUUAGCCCUGGAGAAGAAUAAGCACCUAGUGGCCGAAUUUAUUGAUCAUCUUUUACAUAUUAUUAUGGAGCUAACAGAAUCUUACACCAGUUUCUUGCUUCCGGUGAAGGAUCAAUUACUAAAACUCUAUGAGGGAGCAAGAUUCCUGAGUGUCCUUCUCAGCCAGCAGCACGAGAAGUUCGAUGAGCUAAAUGAUGAAAUGAAGGAUCUUAUUGGAUUUGUGGUCUGUGAUGCUGGAAUUGUGAUUUUCUCCCUUUAUAAGAGUGAAAUGACAGAAAGCUUGCCCAAGGAAAUAGAUCUUGUGGCUUCUCAUUCGCUCGAACUGCUCAAGCUCAUUAUUCCAGAAAUUGAACAGAUUUGUCCACUACAACCACCAUCAUCAUCAAUUAGUUUCCCUAGGACUAAUGAGCUGGGCUCUAUUGAUUUUCUUUUAGAAACUCUCAAGGAACUGGAAAAUUCUACAGCUAAUUCAAUUGCUUUCCCAAAUAAUCAAAUCCACACAGUUCGUGAAGAUCUUGAUUUCUUAAGACCUUUCCUAGGCAAGAUUGCAGAGCAGUGAAAGCGGAAUGAAAAACUCCAAGCUCUGUGGAGUCGUAUUAUUGAGCUGGCAUACAGGGCAGAGAUAAUCAUUGACUCUACACUACCUGGUGGAAAACAUCAACAUUGUUUGGAUGUUAUUGCUGGAGAUGUCAAGCUUAUGAAGAUUGAGGCCAAAAAGAUUUAUGAUAGCAUACGAUUUGACUAUGAAACCCAGAGUAUUGUUAAGACUACCAUUCCCAUGCCAUCACAAGUUACUGCUCCAAUAUCUAAUGAAGCUGUGGUGGGUCUCAAUGACGAGGGGGAAAUUAUAAUUGAUGGACUUGUAAGGGGACCAAGCCGGUUGGAUAUUGUUGCCAUUGUGGGUAUGCCUGGUCUUGGUAAGACAACAUUAGCCAAUAAAGUUUAUGGUGAUCCUUUGGUAAAGUCCCACUUUCACAUUCGUUCUUGGUGUUGUUUUUCUCGAGCAUAUACCAAGCAUAGUUUGUUAGUUCAAAUGUUGUGUAAUAUUGAUCAUGGGAACUCAGCUGGAUAUAUUCGGAAAGAUGAAGAUUAUAUGGCUGACAGGCUACGCAAAUUGUUGAAGGGAAAUAGGUAUCUCAUAGUUUUGGAUGAUGUUUGGGACAUUCUGGGGUGGGAUUUAUUGAAACUCUCACUGCCAGAUGAUUGCAAUGGAAGCAGGAUUCUCUUAACCAGCAGAUUUCAGGAAUUGCCAUUGCAAAUUAAACUUGAUAGCGAGCCUCACCAUCUUCGCCCGCUUACAGAUAAUGAGAGCUGCGAAUUGCUGCAGAAAAAGCUAUUUUCCAAAGAAGAUUGUCCUCCAAUAUUAAGUAAUGUUUUACUGGACGCAGCAAAAUACUGUAAAGGCCUGCCUCUCACAGUUGUCCUUGUUGCCGGAAUUCUUGCUACUACCGAGCAAGAUUGCUGGGAAGAAGUUGUAAUACAUUUAACUUCUAGCAUUUUUGUUGACAAUGAAUAUUGCAUGAAGACUAUUGAGCUAAGUUUCAAUAAUUUACCGGAUUAUUUGAAGCCAUGCCUUCUUUACUUCGGUGCAUUUCAAGAAGACCAAGAAAUUCCUAUCCGAAGGUUGUUAUGGAUUUGGAUCUCGGAAGGAUUCGUGCAAAAGACUGAAGGAAAGAGUUUAGAGGAUGUGGCAGAUGAAUAUUUGAUGGAUCUGAUUGGGAGAAGUUUAGUUAUGGCUGCCCAACAAAGAUCUUUAGGUGGGAUCAAAGCUUGCCGAAUCCAUGAUUUGGUACAUGAGUUUUGCGUGGCGAAAGCUGAAGAAGAAAGUUUUCUACAGAUUUUACAUGUGGAUAACCUUUUAACUUUUACCGGACCAUGCAAGCCCCAUCGAUUGUCUAUUCACCCUACCAUGACUAUGGGGCUUACAAAAUCAAGGCUGUUUUUUCCCAAUUUGCGUUCUUUGCUCUUCUGUGGUGAUAGUUAUACACAGCUGGAUAAGAAUUCAUCCAAAUUUCUGCUGUCUAAACUUCUUAGAGUGCUGGAUUUCUGGAACACUCCUUAUUGGAUUUCAUCUUUUCCAAGGGAAGUAGUAUUCCUUAUUCACUUGAGGUACUUGAGAAUUGGACGUUUUGUUGGGGAUAUCCCAUCUGCAAUAGCCAACCUCUCAAGGUUAGAAACUUUUGUAGUAGAAGCACGCCGUGGAAAUUAUCUGUUGCCAAACACUAUCUGGAGCAUUGAAACAUUGAGGUAUCUUGUCACAUCAUUGUCCGACUGUGGUUUCAUAUUUCCCAUGGACAAUCUUGAAGGCUCCCCUGAUUUAAAACAUUUAGACACUUUAAGCCUUGCAAUCCAUCGCUCUUCUCAAAAUGCACAAAAGAUACUAUCAAAGUUACAGAGCACCCGCAGGCUAACAAUAACAUAUGGAAUCCAAAGGAUGACAUACGAAAGUUACCAAGCACUCAGAUCUGGUGGAAAUCGCAAGGAGAUUCUCGUGCUGAACUACAUGAGUCGACUAGAAUCACUUAAGAUAAGCAGGAUUAGCGGAGAUGAGUUUGAAUUCUCAUUGAAUUUGAAUUUGAAAAAGUUGACUCUCUCGUAUAAUUAUUGGCCGUGGGGAAAAAUUUCAGCAAUUGGAAAAAAUCUGCCCAACCUUGUAGUGCUCAAAUUAUGCCAUCGUUCCGUUCGGGAGGAAGAAUGGGAGAUGGAAGAAGGGGAAUUCUGUAACCUCCGAUUUUUGAAACUGUCAGGGUUGUACAUUCGUAGGUGGACUGCCUCUUCUGAUAAUUUUUCCUGUCUUGAGAAAUUGGUUUUGGAGUUUUGUGAGGAGCUGGAAGAGGUCCCUCCUUGUUUAGGGGAAAGCCUCACUCUUAAAACGAUUGAGGUGAAAUGGUGUAGUGAGUCUGCUGUAAAUUCUGUGGAGCGAAUUCUGGAAGAACAGAGAGAAUGGGGAAACAAGGACUUAAAGAGCGUUAUUAUUAGAUCUACUCAGAAAAGGAGUCAAAGAAGAGAAGAAUUCCACUCAUGAGGUGGCUCAAAUCUAUCAAUAUGAUUCUAAUUUAGAAUCAGUUUCUUUGGCUUGGGCACAUCUGUUGAAAUCAUGUCCAAUAUUUGUUGGUUGCUGAUCAAAGUGGGAAGAGAAGAUCUUUCAAGAAGGGAAAAAAAUACAAUGAAAUAGAUGGACGAGAAAAAUAUCCCAACUUCUGGCUCGUAGAUCAACUGGCAGCUAGAGCAAAAUGGAAAUGAGCAAAAAGCAGGAAUACUACCAACUGGAUGAAUAUCUUGAUGAAGUAUCCAUUAAUAUAUACUUGUUGGAAUGGGACGGGUGAGCUCAGGAAAGUGGUCUCUACCUCUCAGCAAAUGGCUAUGACAAAUGAUGCCUGAAAGUGAAACUAACGUUUAAUGAUGCCAUGAUGCCUCUACCAUGAUUCUGCUUUGGUGCGUUGAUAAGUUUGUUGUACAAGUCGUUUUCUAACACUUCAGAAGGCGAACUACAUCAUUGAUUAUAAGUUGCCGGUACUAGUUGUGCAUUAUCCACGUAACUUCUGCUCUUCUAGGACUGGCUAUGAAAGAUGUUUGUGCAGCAUCUACUUGUUCACUCUCUCUCAUCUUUUGCCGGUUUUUUUUGUUUGUUUGUGGGGGGGUGGGUCGGUAAUGGGCAGUGGAAAGGAAAGUUAUCUGGAAGAUAGCCUGAUAGUCAUUGUCUAUAUAAGAAGUUGAUGCUCAAUGCUGUCAAAAUUUCUGUCUUGUGCCAUUUGAUAUAGAUCUGAAAUGGUCAAGGGCUGUAAAUAUAGUUUGAUGCUAAACUGGCACAGCCAAGGUGGUUUGUUCGUGUCUAAUUCUUAUGCUUUGUUGCGAAAAUUGUAAUGAAAGCCAUCUGAAAAUUGUACGAAUCA